Molecule: ribosomal RNA, 2002 nt
Filed under: human gut metagenome
Description: bacterial LSU rRNA
Rfam family: Bacterial large subunit ribosomal RNA
Source: RNAcentral
AGUGAACCAGUACCGUGAGGGAAAGGCGAAAAGAACCCCGGCGAGGGGAGUGAAAAAGAACCUGAAACCGUGUACGUACAAGCAGUGGGAGCACGCUUCGGCGUGUGACUGCGUACCUUUUGUAUAAUGGGUCAGCGACUUAUAUUCUGUAGCAAGGUUAACCGAAUAGGGGAGCCGAAGGGAAACCGAGUCUUAACUGGGCGUUAAGUUGCAGGGUAUAGACCCGAAACCCGGUGAUCUAGCCAUGGGCAGGUUGAAGGUUGGGUAACACUAACUGGAGGACCGAACCGACUAAUGUUGAAAAAUUAGCGGAUGACUUGUGGCUGGGGGUGAAAGGCCAAUCAAACCGGGAGAUAGCUGGUUCUCCCCGAAAGCUAUUUAGGUAGCGCCUCGUGAAUUCAUCUCCGGGGGUAGAGCACUGUUUCGGCAAGGGGGUCAUCCCGACUUACCAACCCGAUGCAAACUGCGAAUACCGGAGAAUGUUAUCACGGGAGACACACGGCGGGUGCUAACGUCCGUCGUGAAGAGGGAAACAACCCAGACCGCCAGCUAAGGUCCCAAAGUCAUGGUUAAGUGGGAAACGAUGUGGGAAGGCCCAGACAGCCAGGAUGUUGGCUUAGAAGCAGCCAUCAUUUAAAGAAAGCGUAAUAGCUCACUGGUCGAGUCGGCCUGCGCGGAAGAUGUAACGGGGCUAAACCAUGCACCGAAGCUGCGGCAGCGACGCUGAUGCGUUGUUGGGUAGGGGAGCGUUCUGUAAGCCUGCGAAGGUGUGCUGUGAGGCAUGCUGGAGGUAUCAGAAGUGCGAAUGCUGACAUAAGUAACGAUAAAGCGGGUGAAAAGCCCGCUCGCCGGAAGACCAAGGGUUCCUGUCCAACGUUAAUCGGGGCAGGGUGAGUCGACCCCUAAGGCGAGGCCGAAAGGCGUAGUCGAUGGGAAACAGGUUAAUAUUCCUGUACUUGGUGUUACUGCGAAGGGGGGACGGAGAAGGCUAUGUUGGCCGGGCGACGGUUGUCCCGGUUUAAGCGUGUAGGCUGGUUUUCCAGGCAAAUCCGGAAAAUCAAGGCUGAGGCGUGAUGACGAGGCACUACGGUGCUGAAGCAACAAAUGCCCUGCUUCCAGGAAAAGCCUCUAAGCAUCAGGUAACAUCAAAUCGUACCCCAAACCGACACAGGUGGUCAGGUAGAGAAUACCAAGGCGCUUGAGAGAACUCGGGUGAAGGAACUAGGCAAAAUGGUGCCGUAACUUCGGGAGAAGGCACGCUGAUAUGUAGGUGAAGCGACUUGCUCGUGGAGCUGAAAUCAGUCGAAGAUACCAGCUGGCUGCAACUGUUUAUUAAAAACACAGCACUGUGCAAACACGAAAGUGGACGUAUACGGUGUGACGCCUGCCCGGUGCCGGAAGGUUAAUUGAUGGGGUUAGCGGUAACGCGAAGCUCUUGAUCGAAGCCCCGGUAAACGGCGGCCGUAACUAUAACGGUCCUAAGGUAGCGAAAUUCCUUGUCGGGUAAGUUCCGACCUGCACGAAUGGCGUAAUGAUGGCCAGGCUGUCUCCACCCGAGACUCAGUGAAAUUGAACUCGCUGUGAAGAUGCAGUGUACCCGCGGCAAGACGGAAAGACCCCGUGAACCUUUACUAUAGCUUGACACUGAACAUUGAGCCUUGAUGUGUAGGAUAGGUGGGAGGCUUUGAAGUGUGGACGCCAGUCUGCAUGGAGCCGACCUUGAAAUACCACCCUUUAAUGUUUGAUGUUCUAACGUUGACCCGUAAUCCGGGUUGCGGACAGUGUCUGGUGGGUAGUUUGACUGGGGCGGUCUCCUCCUAAAGAGUAACGGAGGAGCACGAAGGUUGGCUAAUCCUGGUCGGACAUCAGGAGGUUAGUGCAAUGGCAUAAGCCAGCUUGACUGCGAGCGUGACGGCGCGAGCAGGUGCGAAAGCAGGUCAUAGUGAUCCGGUGGUUCUGAAUGGAAGGGCCAUCGCUCAACGGAUAAAAGGUACUCCGGGGA